AAUUGGAAUGAGUACACCUUAAAUCGUUUAACGAGUAUCAAUUGGAGGGCAAGUCUGGUGCCAGCAGCCGCGGUAAUUCCAGCUCCAAUAGCGUAUAUUAAAGUUGCUGCAGUUAAAAAGCUCGUAGUUGGAUCUGGGGCUUGAGGUCGCUGUCUAUCGUUUCGGCGAUGACGGUGAUGCUCAGCUCUGCUCGCCGGUGACUGUUGCGGUGUUCUUCACUGAGCGCUGUAGCAGCACGGCACGUUUACUUUGAAAAAAUUAGAGUGCUCAAAGCGUGCUUGUCGCUUGAAUAAUGUUGCAUGGAAUAAUGGAAUAGGACCUCGGUUCUAUUUUGUUGGUUUUCGGAGCUUGAGGUAAUGAUUAAGAGGGACGAACGGGGGCAUUCGUAUUGCGGUGUUAGAGGUGAAAUUCUUGGAUCGCCGCAAGACGGACUACUGCGAAAGCAUUUGCCAAGAACGCUUUCAUUAAUUAAGAACGAAAGUCAGAGGUUCGAAGACGAUCAGACACCGUCCUAGUUCUGACCAUAAACGAUGCCGACCAGCGAUCCGUAGUGGUUGCUUUAUGGACCCUACGGGCAGCCUCCGGGAAACCAAAGUAUUUGGGUUCCGGGGGAAGUAUGGUUGCAAAGCUGAAACUUAAAGGAAUUGACGGAAGGGCACACCAGGAGUGGAGCCUGCGGCUUAAUUUGACCCAACACGGGAAAACUCACCCGGUCCGGACACCGUAAGGAUUGACAGACUGAUAGCUCUUUCUUGAUUCGGUGGAUGGUGGUGCAUGGCCGUUCUUAGUUGGUGGAGUGAUUUGUCUGGUUAAUUCCGAUAACGAACGAGACUCUAGCCUGCUAAGUAGUGUUGCUAUUGUUAUAUGGUUGACACUUCUUAGAGGGACAAGUGGCAUUUAGCCACGCGAAAUUGAGCAAUAACAGGUCUGUGAUGCCCUUAGAUGUCCGGGGCCGCACGCGCGCUACACUGGAGAAGUCAGCGUGUGUUAUCCAAGUCCGAAAGGACUGGGUAAUCCGUUGAACCUUCUUCGUGCUUGGGACUGUGGCUUGGAACUAUUCCACAUGAACGAGGAAUUCCUUGUAAUUGCAAGUCAUAAGCUUGCGUUGAUUGCGUCCCUGCCCUUUGUACACACCGCCCGUCGCUACUACCGAUUGAAUGGUUUAGCAAGGUCCUCGGAUCGUGGCCGUAGGGGCACGCAAGUGUUUCUGCGGUUUGCGAGAAGACGACCAAACUUGAUCAUUUAGA
RNAcentral lists this ribosomal RNA (1247 nucleotides) under metagenome. RNAcentral describes it as "SSU rRNA". It matches the Rfam family "Eukaryotic small subunit ribosomal RNA", at positions 507 to 1777 of the family's 1831-position model. The record is from RNAcentral.